Molecule: ribosomal RNA, 483 nt
Filed under: uncultured bacterium
Lineage: Bacteria
Description: partial 16S ribosomal RNA
Rfam family: Bacterial small subunit ribosomal RNA
Source: RNAcentral
UUGAACGCUGGCGGCAGGCCUCACACAUGCAAGUCGAGCGGAUGAAGGGAGCUUGCUCCUGGAUUCAGCGGCGGACGGGUGAGUAAUGCCUAGGAAUCUGCCUGGUAGUGGGGGAUAACGUCCGGAAACGGGCGCUAAUACCGCAUACGUCCUGAGGGAGAAAGUGGGGGAUCUUCGGACCUCACGCUAUCAGAUGAGCCUAGGUCGGAUUAGCUAGUUGGUGGGGUAAAGGCCUACCAAGGCGACGAUCCGUAACUGGUCUGAGAGGAUGAUCAGUCACACUGGAACUGAGACACGGUCCAGACUCCUACGGGAGGCAGCAGUGGGGAAUAUUGGACAAUGGGCGAAAGCCUGAUCCAGCCAUGCCGCGUGUGUGAAGAAGGCCUUCGGAUUGUAAAGCACUUUAAGUUGGGAGGAAGGGCAGUAAGUUAAUACCUUGCUGUUUUGACGUUACCAACAGAAUAAGCACCGGCUAACUUCGUG